RNAcentral lists this ribosomal RNA (751 nucleotides) under uncultured bacterium. Its description in RNAcentral is "bacterial SSU rRNA". It matches the Rfam family "Bacterial small subunit ribosomal RNA", at positions 71 to 817 of the family's 1533-position model. The record is from RNAcentral.
AGCACGGGAGCAAUCCUGGUGGCGAGUGGCGAACGGGUGAGUAAUGUAUCGGAACGUACCUUUCAGUGGGGGAUAACGUAGCGAAAGUUACGCUAAUACCGCAUAUUCUGUGAGCAGGAAAGCAGGGGAUCGCAAGACCUUGCGCUGAUUGAGCGGCCGAUAUCAGAUUAGCUAGUUGGUGAGGUAAAGGCUCACCAAGGCGACGAUCUGUAGCGGGUCUGAGAGGAUGAUCCGCCACACUGGAACUGAGGCACGGUCCAGACUCCUACGGGAGGCAGCAGUGGGGAAUUUUGGACAAUGGGGGCAACCCUGAUCCAGCCAUGCCGCGUGAGUGAAGAAGGCCUUCGGGUUGUAAAGCUCUUUCAGCCGGGAAGAAAACGCAUGGGUUAAUACCCUGUGUGGAUGACGGUACCGGAAUAAGAAGCACCGGCUAACUACGUGCCAGCAGCCGCGGUAAUACGUAGGGUGCGAGCGUUAAUCGGAAUUACCGGGCGUAAAGCGUGCGCAGGCGGUUUGUUAAGAUAGGCGUGAAAUCCCCGGGCUCAACCUGGGAACUGCGUUUAUGACUGGCAGGCUAGAGUAUGGCAGAGGGGGGUGGAAUUCCACGUGUAGCAGUGAAAUGCGUAGAGAUGUGGAGGAACACCGAUGGCGAAGGCAGCCCCCUGGGCCAAUACUGACGCUCAUGCACGAAAGCGUGGGUAGCAAACAGGAUUAGAUACCCUGGUAGUCCACGCCUUAAACGAUGUCAACU